RNAcentral lists this ribosomal RNA (406 nucleotides) under uncultured bacterium. RNAcentral describes it as "partial 16S ribosomal RNA". It matches the Rfam family "Bacterial small subunit ribosomal RNA", at positions 29 to 526 of the family's 1533-position model. The record is from RNAcentral.
AUUGAACGCUGGCGGCAGGCCUAACACAUGCAAGUCGAGCGAGUGGCGGACGGGUGAGUAAUGUAUGGGGAUCUGCCCGAUAGAGGGGGAUAACUACUGGAAACGGUGGCUAAUACCGCAUACCAUCGGAUGUACCCAUAUGGGAUUAGCUAGUAGGUGGGGUAAAGGCUCACCUAGGCGACGAUCCCUAGCUGGUCUGAGAGGAUGACCAGCCACACUGGGACUGAGACACGGCCCAGACUCCUACGGGAGGCAGCAGGGGGGAAUAUUGCACAAGGGGCGCAAGCUGGAUGCAGCCAUGCCGCGUGUAGGAAGAAGGCCUUAGGGUUGUAAAGUACGUUCAGCGGGGAGGCGUUACCCGCAGAAGAAGCACCGGCUAACUCCGUGCCAGCAGCCGCGGUAAUAC